Molecule: ribosomal RNA, 1477 nt
Filed under: Corcyrogobius liechtensteini (Liechtenstein's goby)
Lineage: Eukaryota; Metazoa; Chordata; Actinopteri; Gobiiformes; Gobiidae
Description: partial 16S ribosomal RNA
Rfam family: Bacterial large subunit ribosomal RNA
Source: RNAcentral
AACCCUCACAGCUAGCCCACCCAAUAUACGUCAACAACCACCAUUAAUGCCCCCCCAGAUAAGUACAAGGAACCAACAAACCAUUUUUCCCUCUUAGUAUAGGAGAUAGAAAAGGACCUCCGGCGCUAUACAGAAAGUACCGCAAGGGAAAGCUGAAAGAGAUAUGAAACAGCUCAACAAAGGCCUGGAAAGCAGAGCUUAGCCCUCGUACCUUUUGCAUCAUGACUUAGUCAGAACCUCUCAAGCAAAAAGUGUUUUACGUUUGAACCCCCGAAACUGGGCGAGCUACUCCGAGACAGCCUAUUUAGGGCGCACCCGUCUCUGUGGCAAAAGAGUGGGACGAUCUUCGAGUAGAGGUGACAGACCUAUCGAGCCCAGUUAUAGCUGGUUGCCCAGGAAUUGAAUAGGAGUUCAGCCUUUUGGCUUUUUACACCGCCUUGGCCGACUUCGGCCCUCCCCAGGGUAAAAGAACACCAAAAGAGCUACUCGAGAGAGGGACAGCUCUCUCGAAGAAAGACACAACUUUUUCGGAAGGCUAAGGAUCACACGCCCGAAGGACUUGCGUCUGGGUGGGCCUAAGAGCAGCCACCCCCUCAAGAAAGCGUUACAGCUUAGGCACAGAGUACCGAUAAUAAGGACAGCCCCCUCCCAAGCCUCCCUACCUACUGGGCCCUCCCAUGCACCCAUGGGAGAGAUACUGCUAACAUGAGUAAUAAGAGGGCUGAGGCCCUCUCCCUGCAGAUGUGUAAAUCAGGACGAACCCCCACUGAGAGUUAGCGCCCCAUACAGAAGGAAUUAAGUGGGACAAUAAAAACUAGAAACCCCCUCAACCACCAGCGUUACCCCUACACAGGACUGCCCUCCGGGAAAAACAAAAAGGGGGAGAAGGAACUCGGCAAACAUCUGCCUCGCCUGUUUACCAAAAACACCGCCUCUUGCUCUCAAAACAUAAGAGGUCUCGCCUGCCCUGUGAAAUAUUUCAACGGCCGCGGUAUUUUGACCGUGCAAAGGUAGCGUAAUCACUUGUCUUUUAAAUGAAGACCCGUAUGAAUGGCACGACGAGGGCUAAGCUGUCUCCUCCCCUCGGUUAAUGAAAUUGAUCUCCCCGUGCAGAAGCGGGGAUAAACGCGUAAGACGAGAAGACCCUAUGGAGCUUUAGACGCCCAAGGCAGCCCGCGUUUAGACCCCUCACUUACCCAGGGCGGACUCAAGCAGCCACUGCCCUCCUGUCUUUGGUUGGGGCGACCGCGGGAUACCAAUUAACUCCCGAGAGGAAGGGGACCCCCUCUCCCAGGCGGGGCCGGCAGGCCCAACUCCCAGAAAUUCUGACCGACAAGAUCCGGCAAAGCCGAUUAACGGACCCAGUUACCCUAGGGAUAACAGCGCAAUCUCCUUCUAGAGCCCCCAUCGACAAGGAGGUUUACGACCUCGAUGUUGGAUCAGGACUUCCUAACGGUGCAGCCGCUGUUAAGGGUUU